RNAcentral lists this ribosomal RNA (497 nucleotides) under uncultured bacterium. RNAcentral describes it as "partial 16S ribosomal RNA". It matches the Rfam family "Bacterial small subunit ribosomal RNA", at positions 28 to 507 of the family's 1533-position model. The record is from RNAcentral.
GAUGAACGCUGGCGGCGUGCCUAAUACAUGCAAGUCGAGCGAACGGACGAGAAGCUUGCCUCUCUGAUGUUAGCGGCGGACGGGUGAGUAACACGUGGAUAACCUACCUAUAAGACUGGGAUAACUUCGGGAAACCGGAGCUAAUACCGGAUGAUAUUUUGAACCGCAUGGUUCAAAAGUGAAAGACGGUCUUGCUGUCACUUAUAGAUGGAUCCGCGCUGCAUUAGCUAGUUGGUAAGGUAACGGCUUACCAAGGCAACGAUGCAUAGCCGACCUGAGAGGGUGAUCGGCCACACUGGAACUGAGACACGGUCCAGACUCCUACGGGAGGCAGCAGUAGGGAAUCUUCCGCAAUGGGCGAAAGCCUGACGGAGCAACGCCGCGUGAGUGAUGAAGGUCUUCGGAUCGUAAAACUCUGUUAUUAGGGAAGAACAGAUGUGUAAGUAACUGUGCACAUCUUGACGGUACCUAAUCAGAAAGCCACGGCUAACUACGUG